AUUGGACGCUGGCGGCAUGCCUUACACAUGCAAGUCGAACGGUAACAGGUCUUCGGAUGCUGACGAGUGGCGAACGGGUGAGUAAUACAUCGGAACGUGCCCAGACGUGGGGGAUAACGAGGCGAAAGCUUUGCUAAUACCGCAUACGAUCUAAGGAUGAAAGCAGGGGACCGCAAGGCCUUGCGCGUUUGGAGCGGCCGAUGGCAGAUUAGGUAGUUGGUGGGAUAAAAGCUUACCAAGCCGACGAUCUGUAGCUGGUCUGAGAGGACGACCAGCCACACUGGGACUGAGACACGGCCCAGACUCCUACGGGAGGCAGCAGUGGGGAAUUUUGGACAAUGGGCGAAAGCCUGAUCCAGCAAUGCCGCGUGCAGGAUGAAGGCCUUCGGGUUGUAAACUGCUUUUGUACGGAACGAAAAGGCUCUGGCUAAUACCUGGGGCACAUGACGGUACCGUAAGAAUAAGCACCGGCUAACUACGUG
Molecule: ribosomal RNA, 482 nt
Filed under: uncultured bacterium
Lineage: Bacteria
Description: partial 16S ribosomal RNA
Rfam family: Bacterial small subunit ribosomal RNA
Source: RNAcentral